Molecule: long non-coding RNA, 267 nt
Filed under: Toxoplasma gondii VEG
Lineage: Eukaryota; Apicomplexa; Conoidasida; Eucoccidiorida; Sarcocystidae
Source: RNAcentral
CGGAGACAAUAUCUACUUAUAAUGUGAUAAUUACAAUACAUGGUCUAGCUAUGAUCUUUAUGUUCUUAAUGCCGGCUUUGUACGGAGGAUAUGGUAACUUCUUUGUACCAAUCUAUAUUGGUGGUUCGGAAGUCGUUUUCCCAAGAACUAACGCGAUCUCCUAUUUCCUAGUACCAUUAGUGAACUCAUUUGGUCUGAUCCUAAGUACGCAGUGAGCUAAAUAGAUACAAGGAACUUGACAAGCAUUACUAGAUUUAUAUAAACGAC